RNAcentral lists this ribosomal RNA (462 nucleotides) under uncultured bacterium. Its description in RNAcentral is "bacterial SSU rRNA". It matches the Rfam family "Bacterial small subunit ribosomal RNA", at positions 337 to 796 of the family's 1533-position model. The record is from RNAcentral.
UCCUACGGGAGGCAGCAGUGAGGAAUAUUGGACAAUGGUCGGAAGACUGAUCCAGCCAUGCCGCGUGAAGGAUGACGGUCCUAUGGAUUGUAAACUUCUUUUGUACGGGAGCAAUAAGGUAUACGUGUAUACCGAUGAGAGUACCGUACGAAUAAGCAUCGGCUAACUCCGUGCCAGCAGCCGCGGUAAUACGGAGGAUGCGAGCGUUAUCCGGAUUUAUUGGGUUUAAAGGGUGCGUAGGCGGCGCAGCAAGUCAGCGGUGAAAUGCAAGGGCUUAACCCUUGACGUGCCGUUGAAACUGUCGUGCUAGAAUGCGGAUGCUGUGGGAGGAAUGUGUAGUGUAGCGGUGAAAUGCAUAGAUAUUACACAGAACACCGAUUGCGAAGGCAUCUCACAAAUCCGCGAUUGACGCUGAGGCACGAAAGUGCGGGGAUCAAACAGGAUUAGAUACCCUGGUAGUCC